RNAcentral lists this ribosomal RNA (562 nucleotides) under uncultured bacterium. Its description in RNAcentral is "bacterial SSU rRNA". It matches the Rfam family "Bacterial small subunit ribosomal RNA", at positions 338 to 916 of the family's 1533-position model. The record is from RNAcentral.
CCUACGGGAGGCAGCAGCAGGGAAUUUUGCGCAAUGGGCGAAAGCCUGACGCAGCAACGCCGCGUGGGGGAUGAAGGCUCUUGGGUCGUAAACCCCUUUUGCCGGGGAAGAUAAUGACGGUACCUGACGAAUAAGCCUCGGCUAACUACGUGCCAGCAGCCGCGGUAAUACGUAGGAGGCGAGCGUUAUCCGGAUUUAUUGGGCGUAAAGAGCGCGUAGGCGGCCUAUUAAGUCGGUUGUAAAAUCUCCCGGCUCAACUGGGAGGGGUCAUCCGAAACUGGUAGGCUUGAGGACAGCAGAGGGAGAUGGAAUUCCCGGUGUAGUGGUGAAAUGCGUAGAUAUCGGGAGGAACACCAGUGGCGAAGGCGGCUCUCUGGGACAGUACUGACGCUGAGGCGCGAAAGCUAGGGGAGCAAACAGGAUUAGAUACCCUGGUAGUCCUAGCCGUAAACGAUGGACACUAGGUGUCGGGGGUGUCGACUCCCUCGGUGCCGAAGCUAACGCAUUAAGUGUCCCGCCUGGGGAGUACGGCCGCAAGGCUAAAACUCAAAGGAAUUGACGG